This 253-nucleotide ribosomal RNA is filed under the name uncultured bacterium. RNAcentral's name for it is "partial 16S ribosomal RNA". It matches the Rfam family "Bacterial small subunit ribosomal RNA", at positions 524 to 776 of the family's 1533-position model. The record is from RNAcentral.
UACAGAGGGUGCAAGCGUUAAUCGGAAUUACUGGGCGUAAAGCGCGCGUAGGCGGCUGUCUAAGUCCGCUGUGAAAGUCGGGGGCUCAACCCUCGAAUGCCGGUGGAUACUGUCGGGCUAGAGUGCGGAAGAGGCGAGUGGAAUUCCUGGUGUAGCGGUGAAAUGCGCAGAUAUCAGGAGGAACACCUAUUGCGAAGGCAGCUCGCUGGGACGUAACUGACGCUGAGACGCGAAAGCGUGGGGAGCAAACAGG